Schistocerca cancellata (South American locust) is the source of this 1974-nucleotide RNA transcript. It is a transcript of the gene named TBC1 domain family member 13, with no coding region annotated. The transcript is spliced from 12 exons. NCBI's taxonomy places the organism in Eukaryota, Metazoa, Arthropoda, Insecta, Orthoptera, Acrididae. The record is from RefSeq and is a predicted model, not a curated record.
AAUACGCAUAUCGGGUGUCAAGUGUUUCCAAAACUCAGUUGGCUGCAUAAUUAUGGCUGCUUACAGAGCGAGAAUAAAAGAAUUCGAUGACCUAUUAAAUUCCGAAGAAAUAGAUCUGAAAACAUUAAGGAAGCUCUGUUUUAAUGGAGUUCCAGAUGAACAGGGCAGAAGGGCGUUGUGCUGGAAGCUUCUGCUCAAUUACUUACCACCAACUCAUUGUACAUGGAGUGAAACCUUAAGUAGGAAGAGAGAAUUGUACAGACAAUUUAUUGAGGAAAUGAUUGUGAUGCCAGGAGUUGCAGAUGAUGAUGACUCAUGUCGAACUGAUGUUACAUUGACAGAUCAUCCUCUGAAUUUAAAUCCUGACAGCAAGUGGCAAACUUUCUUCAAGGAUAAUGAAGUUCUCUUGCAAAUAGACAAAGAUGUUAGGAGGCUAUGUCCUGAUAUAUCAUUUUUCCAACAAGCCACUGACUUUCCAUGUCAGCAAGUAGUUCAUAGUAAAGGCGUAAAACGCCUUCAUAGAAGAGUUCAACAUACAGUGUUAAAAUCUGCAAAUGUGGAGAGGAAAGGCCUUGGAAUUACAAAGAUAGCACUCUCCAUUAAAAAAGCGCCAGAAGAUUAUGCACCAAUGGCAGAAGGCAUGGAAGCUCACUGGGAAGUAGUGGAGCGUAUACUGUUUUUAUAUGCUAAGUUGAAUCCUGGGCAAGGUUAUGUUCAAGGAAUGAAUGAAAUCAUUGGCCCUAUUUACUAUGCAUUUGCUUCCAACCCAGAUGCUGAAUGGAGAGAAUUUGCAGAAGCUGAUUGCUUUUUCUGCUUCACAAAUUUAAUGGGAGAAAUAAGAGACUUCUUCAUCAAAUCCCUUGAUGAAGCAGAAUGUGGUAUAAGUGGUAUGAUGGCACGCCUUGGUGAACAGCUUCGUAAGAGUGAUCUGCAAGUGUGGCUCCGUCUCCAGCAGCUGGAAUUGCGCCCACAAUAUUACAGUUUUAGGUGGCUGACACUACUUUUGUCUCAAGAAUUUCCUUUGCCAGAUGUCCUUAGGAUUUGGGACUCUCUAUUUGCUGAUGAGCAUCGUUUUGAUUUUCUUAUCUACAUUUGUUGCUCAAUGAUUAUAUUACUUCGUGAGGAACUAUUGACGGGUGAUUUUCCUUCAAAUGUGAAAUUACUCCAGAACUUUCCGUCAAUGGAUAUCCAAGUUGUACUGUCCAAGGCAGCAGAACUAGGUGGACUGAAAGCUUCAUGAAUUUUAUUUUGGACUGCAGAGUUGGAUAAAAACAGAAUGUCCCGAAGGCAGCACAGUGUGACAAAGUUCUCAGGGUCUUCAAGAGACUUAUAGGUGAUCUGCUCUCCCUUGUGGGAUCUAAAAAGGGGAGGCAAUAUUUCUUCCAUGAACUCUUCCAUGCUCGUGGUAAAAUUCUCAUUUGCUAUUUUGGAGCAGUGGCAUUUAAGUGGACACUUCUCAUAUACAAAGCUGUAUAGCUUUAAAGUGCUGUGAAAAAAUUCUUUUCUCAUUUUUUGUACAGCAAUAAUAUAUUUUUGUACCAAACUUACAGACUUUUUAAUGAAAAACUGGUGUUGUUAGAGAUGUUGUUUUUGGUACUGGUUUAAGUUUAUGGUUGACUGUUACUUAAUUCUAUUGUUAAUGUUGUAAAGAGCUCAAUAUGCAGCCUCAGAUGUUAUUACAUAAAAUCCUAUGUAAAAUAUUUUGACAUGUUAUAUUUUGUGAAAUAUUGAAUUAUAUAACAUCACAGUAAGUUGCUGAGGUGUAGAGAUUUAUAUUGUGUGUUUUUGCACAAGGUGUAUCUGUAUCUUAUUGAUUACCAUGUUGUACAUCAUACUUGAACAUUUUGCAUUCUUUUUUCUUCAGUAAAUGAAUAUGUUGUGUCUUUGAAGAUUUAAGAAAGUUCUCGUUGCAUAAAUAUAUGCUUUGAACAUGAGACAGAACUCACACAAAAUGGGGGGGGGGGGGGGGGGGGC